GACGGAGGGGGCUAGCGUUGCUCGGAAUCACUGGGCGUAAAGGGUGCGUAGGCGGGUCUUUAAGUCAGGGGUGAAAUCCUGGAGCUCAACUCCAGAACUGCCUUUGAUACUGAAGAUCUUGAGUUCGUGAGAGGUGAGUGGAACUGCGAGUGUAGAGGUGAAAUUCGUAGAUAUUCGCAAGAACACCAGUGGCGAAGGCGGCUCACUGGCCCGAUACUGACGCUGAGGCACGAAAGCGUGGGGAGCAAACAGG
RNAcentral lists this ribosomal RNA (253 nucleotides) under uncultured bacterium. Its description in RNAcentral is "partial 16S ribosomal RNA". It matches the Rfam family "Bacterial small subunit ribosomal RNA", at positions 524 to 776 of the family's 1533-position model. The record is from RNAcentral.